RNAcentral lists this transfer RNA (93 nucleotides) under Candidatus Bathyarchaeota archaeon. Its description in RNAcentral is "tRNA-Gly". It matches the Rfam family "tRNA". From Rfam's summary of the family: Transfer RNA (tRNA) molecules are approximately 80 nucleotides in length. Their secondary structure includes four short double-helical elements and three loops (D, anti-codon, and T loops). Further hydrogen bonds mediate the characteristic L-shaped molecular structure. tRNAs have two regions of fundamental functional importance: the anti-codon, which is responsible for specific mRNA codon recognition, and the 3' end, to which the tRNAs corresponding amino acid is attached (by aminoacyl-tRNA synthetases). tRNAs cope with the degeneracy of the genetic code in two manners: having more than one tRNA (with a specific anti-codon) for a particular amino acid; and 'wobble' base-pairing, i.e. permitting non-standard base-pairing at the 3rd anti-codon position. The record is from RNAcentral. Lineage: Archaea; Thermoproteati; Candidatus Bathyarchaeota.
GCGGCCGUGGUCUAGAGCUUUUACACGGACAACCUGGUAAGAUCUCGCCCUGCCACGGCGAAGGCCCGGGUUCAAAUCCCGGCGGCCGCACCA